This 243-nucleotide unclassified non-coding RNA is filed under the name Mycosphaerella sp. RNAcentral's name for it is "partial contains 5.8S ribosomal RNA, internal transcribed spacer 2, and large subunit ribosomal RNA". The record is from RNAcentral. Lineage: Eukaryota; Fungi; Ascomycota; Dothideomycetes; Mycosphaerellales; Mycosphaerellaceae.
AACGCACCUUGCGCCUUUUGGGUUUACCCUGGGCAUGCUGGAUUGAGCGCCUUUUUAAACCUCGCGCUUGCGCGGAUUUGAGUCUUGCUGGCUUGCCAGCUCACUCUGAAUGCAUGAGCGGCUAUUCGCUCGAAGCAACGUGAUAAGUAUCUUCGUUGUGACGAGCCGAGUAGACGCUUCAAAUCGUCUUCGGACAAUUCCAAUGCCAGGCAUCAAUUUAGUAGGAUUACCCGCUGAACUUAA